UGGCUCAGGACGAACGCUGGCGGCGUGCCUAAUACAUGCAAGUCGAACGGUCUUUCUAUGGAAGCUUGCUUCCACUGAGAAGAUAGUGGCGAACGGGUGAGUAACACGUGGGUAACCUGCCCAUAAGAGGGGGAUAACAUCCGGAAACGGGUGCUAAUACCGCAUAGUUUUCUUGAUCGCAUGAUCGGGAAAGGAAAGACGGCCUUUGUGCUGUCGCUUAUGGAUGGACCCGCGGCGUAUUAGUUAGUUGGUGAGGUAACGGCUCACCAAGACGAUGAUACGUAGCCGACCUGAGAGGGUGAUCGGCCACAUUGGGACUGAGACACGGCCCAAACUCCUACGGGAGGCAGCAGUAGGGAAUCUUCCGCAAUGGACGAAAGUCUGACGGAGCAACGCCGCGUGAGUGAAGAAGGUUUUCGGAUCGUAAAACUCCGUCGUCAGAGAAGAACAAGUUGGAGAGUAACUGCUCCAGCCUUGACGGUAUCUGACCAGAAAGCCACGGCUAACUACGUGCCAGCCGCCGC
RNAcentral lists this ribosomal RNA (524 nucleotides) under uncultured bacterium. Its description in RNAcentral is "bacterial SSU rRNA". It matches the Rfam family "Bacterial small subunit ribosomal RNA", at positions 20 to 518 of the family's 1533-position model. The record is from RNAcentral.